UCCUGGCUAGGGUACCUAGAGUGCCUCCUUCAUCAUAUAUACAUGCUAAAUGGCUGCCACAUACAAAUCAGAGUUCUGCAUGCUUCACCCCACCCCACAAUGAAAGUCUUCAACACUCACGGCCACCUUGUGAGACAGUUUCACUCCAUCAUCCAGGCUGGAAUGCAUUGGCACAACCUCCACCUCCCAGGUUCAAGCAAUUCUCAUGCCUCAGCCUCCCCAUUAGCUGUGGCUACAGUUUCACUCUUGCUGCCCAGGCUGGAGUGCAAUAGCGUGAUCUCGGCUCACCACAACCUCCACCUCCUGGGUUCAAGCGACUCCCCUGCCUCAGCCUCCAAACUUCCGACCUCAAGUGAUCCGCCAGCCUCAGCCUCCCAAAGUGCUGGGAUUACAGGCGUAAGCCACUGCGCCUAGGCGCAAGUUUCGGUUUUUUGUUUUUUAAAUGUAAACAAUAAAAUAGAAGACAGUAUU
This is a non-coding RNA of Callithrix jacchus (white-tufted-ear marmoset), 471 nucleotides long. The record is from RefSeq and is a predicted model, not a curated record. NCBI's taxonomy places the organism in Eukaryota, Metazoa, Chordata, Mammalia, Primates, Cebidae.